UUAAAACUCAAAGGAAUAGACGGGGACCCGCACAAGCGGUGGAGCAUGUGGUUUAAUUCGAAGAUACGCGAAGAACCUUACCUGGGCUUGAUAUCCUAAGAACCUUAUAGAGAUAUGAGGGUGCUAGCUUGCUAGAACUUAGAGACAGGUGCUGCACGGCUGUCGUCAGCUCGUGUCGUGAGAUGUUGGGUUAAGUCCCGCAACGAGCGCAACCCACGUAUUUAGUUGCUAACGGUUCGGCCGAGCACUCUAAAUAGACUGCCUUCGUAAGGAGGAGGAAGGUGUGGACGACGUCAAGUCAUCAUGGCCCUUAUGCCCAGGGCGACACACGUGCUACAAUGGCAUAUACAAUGAGACGCAAUACCGCGAGGUGGAGCAAAUCUAUAAAAUAUGUCCCAGUUCGGAUUGUUCUCUGCAACUCGAGAGCAUGAAGCCGGAAUCGCUAGUAAUCGUAGAUCAGCCAUGCUACGGUGAAUACGUUCCCGGGUCUUGUACUCACCGCCCGUCACACCAUGGGAGUUGAUUUCACUCGAAGCCGGAAUACUAAACUAGUUACCGUCCACAGUGGAAUCAGCGACUGGGGUGAAGUCGUAACAAGGUAACCGUAGGAGAACCUGCGGUUGGAUCACCUCCUUU
RNAcentral lists this ribosomal RNA (636 nucleotides) under Campylobacter jejuni. RNAcentral describes it as "bacterial SSU rRNA". It matches the Rfam family "Bacterial small subunit ribosomal RNA", at positions 894 to 1533 of the family's 1533-position model. Lineage: Bacteria; Pseudomonadati; Campylobacterota; Epsilonproteobacteria; Campylobacterales; Campylobacteraceae. The record is from RNAcentral.